CGCGUAGGCGGCGAUAUAAGUCGGGUGUGAAAGUCCACGGCUCAACCGUGGAAGUGCAUCUGAAACUGUAUGGCUUGAGUAUGGGAGGGGAAAGUGGAAUUCCCGGUGUAGAGGUGAAAUUCGUAGAGAUCGGGAGGAACACCUGUGGCGAAGGCGACUUUCUGGACCAAUACUGACGCUGAGGCGCGAAAGCGUGGGGAGCAAACAGGAUUAGAUACCCUGGUAGUCC
RNAcentral lists this ribosomal RNA (229 nucleotides) under uncultured bacterium. RNAcentral describes it as "partial 16S ribosomal RNA". It matches the Rfam family "Bacterial small subunit ribosomal RNA", at positions 568 to 796 of the family's 1533-position model. The record is from RNAcentral.